UUCUGUAUAAAGACACACCUACCUAGCC
Molecule: non-coding RNA, 28 nt
Filed under: Mus musculus (house mouse)
Lineage: Eukaryota; Metazoa; Chordata; Mammalia; Rodentia; Muridae
Source: RNAcentral